This is a long non-coding RNA of Cyprinus carpio (common carp), 1142 nucleotides long. RefSeq lists it as uncharacterized. Lineage: Eukaryota; Metazoa; Chordata; Actinopteri; Cypriniformes; Cyprinidae. The record is from RefSeq and is a predicted model, not a curated record. The transcript is spliced from 5 exons.
CGGACUUUAUUUACAAGUGACAGGUGAGCGCUUUAUGAUUCGACGAGUAUUGAAUCAUGCACAUUGUUAUGGAGGUGUAUGUGAUGGUUGAUAAUACUGUGGAUGUCCAGCAUUUGUACAGUUCUGCUGCUGCAGGCACGUCGUCAUUUUAGAGUGACGUGGAUGUUCAUAGUGACCCGUGUAUUGGUGGAUUACUUUUACUGAUCCAUGUAGGGAAAUUUACUUUGAAUUUAACCCACCCCCAUCUAGUCUCCUGUUGAAAUUGUUGCUCAGCUGUGUUUGGUAAAUAGGCCAGUUAGAUCAAUUAAGUAGCGUAGCCUCUAUCUUUUAACUUAAAAUUGAAACGAAAUUAUAAAGCUAACCCGAGAUCGGUUACAACCAUUAUUAGCCACUGCUUGACUAUGUUUGGGCAUGACAAGGGACGACCAAUCAUUUUAUCACAUCGACCAUAGGCCACGCCCACCUGCGUUUAGCCGCGUUACGCACAGUGCGUGUGUUUCAGUUGUGUUUCUGUGCAGACGUCGAAGGAUUUCAGUCUCGGGAGACAGCGGAUGGUUUACUGUAACUUGACCAGGCCAUCUGGGUUCGCCCAGUGAAUUAGUUCGGCGGAUUUGACUGCGGAUUGUUUUGUAAACGAGGUACAGUGUCAUAGAGAGUGCAGGAUCCACCUAAUUGUAUUGAAUCUGACAGCAGCUGCAUCGCGAAACCAAUCUGAAGAGGAAACAGACGAAGUCGUUCAACCGGCCACACAAUUAAAUCAACAAAUUGACUCAGUGGUGCACGUGUGGGAACUGUCACAGAAUGCCCACCGAGUCUGAAAACCUUUGCUGUCAGGAGGUACAACAGGUAAUAAGAAGAAUUCAACAGAUUCCAGUGCCUCCAAUCUGCAUGAUUCUGCAUCCAGGCUUUGAAGCAAACUGUCUCAAUCCGUAUACCCUCCAGAACAUUCAUAAUAUAUAUAGAAGCGACUAUGGUCCAUUAAGACGCCGAACAAGAGAGGAGCAAUUCCGACAUUUGGCAUAUCGGAGCUUUGUUAGCUGGUGCUGGGGCUUCUUAGGCCGACAUGUCAGAGUGGUCAUUCCUUCCUGUGUUGUAUCCCGGAUACGCCAGGAGUUUCCAGAUCUGGCUGGUUGCUAUGUUGG